GUCAGAUUGGAAUGGCUGGAUUUGUUCUCCCUGGAAGCAGAGGAGUGGGAUUUCAUAUUGGCCUCGACUACUUUUCCCGAUCUGCAUCUUCAGUCUCUGAGGUCGUAAACUGAAACAGAUGCAGACUGUGGAAGCGAACACAUCCUGUCAAGGGGAUGAAGCUUCUGGGAGAGGAAGAGCUGUAGCUGGGAUGGAAUAGGUCAAAGAAGGACAUGGAGUAUCUGUGGAGCAUUCACCAUAACGGCACCACAAUGGAUGAAGGACUUCUUCAUGAGUUUCAGGAUCUUGUUCCGGUGGGAUUUCAUCUUAGCCUUGUCUGACUUUGCUGGACUAAAUCUUCCACAUUAAACCUCUGAAGAGAUACAGGUGUGGAGAAUGUGGAGACUUCUGGAGGGGAAGGAAGAAACCUGCACAAAAUGGAGAGAUUCCUAGAAAGAGAAUGCUAGUAAAGGGACAUGCCUAAAGGAAACUGUGGUCUCUGGCUAACUGGGAAAGUGGGCCAAGGAAUGGCAUGUGGAUUGUAACUGGGACAAAUGUGACAUGAUAGAUUUUGGGAAGUUAAACCAGCACAAAACAUACAGAACGAAUGCUAGGUCCGAGAGAAACAGGGGCUUUCACUGUACGAGCUAGUGAUGGAACCGUGAGUGACCAUUCCAUGAUAAAAACCCAAGACAGCAGCUCUCAACUGCGAUUGACCCGAUGCUCCUCAGAUCAGUCCCAUCCACCUCUUGGUGCCAACUGGACAGCCUCAGCCAUUCCCCUUCAAGGACUGAGUGAGGCAUAGAGAUGGAGUGAAACCAUCUCUCUCACAUCAGGACCAUUUCUAUCCUUUCUAUUCCAGGAUCGGAAGGUUCACCCUUCCACCUCUAAAUCUGU
Molecule: long non-coding RNA, 876 nt
Organism: Mobula hypostoma (lesser devil ray)
Lineage: Eukaryota; Metazoa; Chordata; Chondrichthyes; Myliobatiformes; Myliobatidae
Exons: 3
Source: RefSeq, a predicted model, not a curated record